Molecule: transfer RNA, 69 nt
Filed under: Rattus norvegicus (Norway rat)
Lineage: Eukaryota; Metazoa; Chordata; Mammalia; Rodentia; Muridae
Rfam family: tRNA
About the family: Transfer RNA (tRNA) molecules are approximately 80 nucleotides in length.
Source: Rfam by way of RNAcentral
GGGGAUUUAGCUCAGUGGUAGAGCGCUUGCCUAGCAAGCGCAAGGCCCUGGGUUCUAUCCCCAGCUCCG